This 253-nucleotide ribosomal RNA is filed under the name uncultured bacterium. Its description in RNAcentral is "partial 16S ribosomal RNA". It matches the Rfam family "Bacterial small subunit ribosomal RNA", at positions 524 to 776 of the family's 1533-position model. The record is from RNAcentral.
UACGAAGGGGGCUAGCGUUGUUCGGAAUCACUGGGCGUAAAGCGCACGUAGGCGGAUUGUUAAGUCGGGGGUGAAAUCCUGAGGCUCAACCUCAGAACUGCCUUCGAUACUGGCAAUCUCGAGUCCGGAAGAGGUUGGUGGAACAGCUGGUGUAGAGGUGAAAUUCGUAGAUAUUAGCUAGAACACCAGUGGCGAAGGCGGCCAACUGGUCCGGUACUGACGCUGAGGUGCGAAAGUGUGGGGAUCAAACAGG